Molecule: ribosomal RNA, 253 nt
Filed under: uncultured bacterium
Lineage: Bacteria
Description: partial 16S ribosomal RNA
Rfam family: Bacterial small subunit ribosomal RNA
Source: RNAcentral
UACGUAGGGUGCGAGCGUUAAUCGGAAUUACUGGGCGUAAAGCGUGCGCAGGCGGUUUUGCAAGCCGGAUGUGAAAUCCCCGGGCUCAACCUGGGAAUGGCAUUUGGGACUGCAAGGCUCGAGUGCGGCAGAGGAGACUGGAAUUCCUGGUGUAGCAGUGAAAUGCGUAGAUAUCAGGAGGAAUACCGAUGGCGAAGGCGGGUCUCUGGGCCGAUACUGACGCUGAGGAGCGAAAGCGUGGGGAGCGAACAGG